UAGCCAUAUGCUUGUCUCAAAGAUUAAGCCAUGCACGUCUAAGUAUAAGUGAUAAAUAACACACGAAACUGCGAACGGCUCAAUAAAACGGUUAUAAUCUACUCGACAAAGACUCCUUACUCGGAUAACCGUAGUAACUCCAGGGCUAAUACGUGCACGAUACCUUAUUUUUAAUUAAAUUUGGUGCGUUUGCUUAGCCAAAAGCCGACCAAUUUCUUUCGGGAAAUUGAAAAACUCGGUGAUACGGAGCAACCUUGCUGAUCGCAUAGCCUUUGAG
RNAcentral lists this ribosomal RNA (277 nucleotides) under uncultured eukaryote. RNAcentral describes it as "partial 18S ribosomal RNA". It matches the Rfam family "Eukaryotic small subunit ribosomal RNA", at positions 21 to 283 of the family's 1831-position model. The record is from RNAcentral.